GACGAACGCUGGCGGCGUGCUUAACACAUGCAAGUCGAGCGGUAAGGGCCCUUUCGGGGGUACACGAGCGGCGAACGGGUGAGUAACACGUGGGUGACCUGCCCUUAGCUCUGGGAUAAGCCUGGGAAACUGGGUCUAAUACCGGAUAUGACUCCAUGACGCAUGUUGUGGGGUGGAAAGCCUUGUGCGGCUAGGGAUGGGCCCGCGGCCUAUCAGCUUGUUGGUGGGGUGAUGGCCUACCAAGGCGACGACGGGUAGCCGGCCUGAGAGGGCGACCGGCCACACUGGGACUGAGACACGGCCCAGACUCCUACGGGAGGCAGCAGUGGGGAAUCUUGCGCAAUGGGCGAAAGCCC
RNAcentral lists this ribosomal RNA (356 nucleotides) under uncultured bacterium. Its description in RNAcentral is "bacterial SSU rRNA". It matches the Rfam family "Bacterial small subunit ribosomal RNA", at positions 28 to 384 of the family's 1533-position model. The record is from RNAcentral.